UCCUUUCUUCUCCCUUCCUGCCCGCCCGCCCGCCUUCCUCCCUCGCGCCCGCCCGCCGCCUGCCCUCUCCAAGUCCCUCCCGGUCCCGAGCGCCGCCGGCCCCGCUCCGUCGCCCGCGCCCGGCCCCGGCUCGCGCGCACACUUCCUGAGUCGCGGGCCGCCGCCGCCUCGCCGCGCCCCGCCGCCCGGGGAAGGAGCCGUGGGCGAGCGCGCCCUCGCCCAGCCCCGCGCCCAGCCCUGCCCGGGAGGAAGGACCGGGAAGAUGAACAACAGCGGCAAAGCCGAGAAGGAGAACACCCCCGGCGAGGCCAACCUGCAGGAGGAAGAGGUCCGGACCCUAUUUGUCAGUGGUCUUCCUCUGGAUAUUAAACCUCGGGAGCUCUAUCUGCUUUUCAGACCAUUUAAGGGCUAUGAGGGUUCUCUUAUAAAGCUCACAUCUAAGCAGCCUGUAGGUUUUGUCAGUUUUGACAGUCGCUCAGAAGCAGAAGCUGCGAAGAAUGCUUUGAAUGGCAUCCGCUUCGAUCCUGAAAUUCCGCAAACACUACGACUAGAGUUUGCUAAGGCAAACACGAAGAUGGCCAAGAACAAACUAGUAGGGACUCCAAAUCCCAGUACUCCUCUGCCCAACACUGUACCUCAGUUCAUUGCCAGAGAGCCAUAUGAGCUCACAGUGCCUGCACUUUACCCCAGUAGCCCUGAAGUGUGGGCCCCGUACCCUCUGUACCCAGCGGAGUUAGCGCCUGCUCUACCUCCUCCUGCUUUCACCUAUCCCGCUUCACUGCAUGCUCAGUGUUUCUCUCCUGAGGCAAAGCCCAACACACCUGUCUUUUGUCCACUUCUCCAGCAAAUUAGAUUUGUCUCUGGGAAUGUGUUUGUCACAUAUCAGCCUACUGCAGACCAGCAGAGGGAGCUCCCAUGUUGAAUUUGUUUGUUAGCUAUUUUCCCUCCUUUUGCAAAAACUAUUUCUUGGCGAUAUUUGAGAGAUUCAAUAAAAAUUUUACUCAGAGCAAAAAAAAAAAUCUCAAGUAGACUUCAGCGUUGUGUUUUCAUGGUGAUUCAAUUCUGGAGCAGAGGUGUUCAUCUGUAACUGAGAUUUUGGGGAGAAUUGGGCCUUUAACAACUGUGUUACACAGGAGGAGAAGGACUCAGAAAAAGCACCUUGGGGAGACUGGGCCCUGGUCUGAGGCCUCAUCACUGCUGCUUGCGUCUUCUUGGCCUCCCGAAAGCUACCACAAGCUGCGUCCUGAAAGAUUCUCACUCCAACCUCCACACUUACCAGCAGCAGGAGCUCUCGCUUCAGCCAGGACGACAUGGCUAGCUAGUGGAAACCUGUGCAGCAAGUGGACGUGUUUGCCAGGUUCCCUGCUGGGAUUCAGAGGAAGGAGGACCCAAGAGAUGCAGUGUGUCUUGAAAAAGAAGUUAGGGCACAUUUCUAGUUGUGUUCCACUUUUAGUCAUGAUCUGGUGUUCCCUAGAUUUCCCAGCUAUAAUCGGAAGAUGCUAUUUGCAGUCAAAUCCCACGUUUUAAGAACUUACUGGCUAACAGGACUGCAUACUGUAUACUGCCUUACUACUUUUAAAGGUGAGAGAGCAACCCCGUGCAACAUCUGAUUUGUAAAAUUGUAAACAUUUUUAGAAGGAAACAUUUAGCUUGCUUUCAAGGUUAUUGGCAUUUGAAAUUUAUUAAAUGUCUUGUGUAAGCCACUGUGAGUAGAAGUUUCACCCACCCCACAAUCUCCAGCUCUUCCUGUGGCCUAAUACGCAUCUCAGCUUUAAAGUUAGCUUCAGCUUUUGCUUGUAGUCUUGGUGCUUUAGAGAAAUAGUGAAGCACCCUGUCCUCACCACAUAGCACAAGUACAGCACCAUGUGUCUUCCAGAGUCAGUCACAGUUGGACCAGGAACAUUUGCAGGGAUGCAAGACUGAGAUCCAUUGUUGGCUGAUGUUGUGGCGGUGGUGGCAGCCUCCUCCCACAUCACCACGGUCCUUUCUGAACAUGUACAGGCUGCUGCGCAGCUCGUGAUCAGAGCACAUCACUCAUGCUGCAGAAGCAGAACAUUUCAACUUCUUGGGAGCAUGCCCCUUGGGAGGUGCCUUGUGACACAGUGGAAAACUUUUAAAGGUUAAACCCAAAAUAAAUGCAGAAGUGAACCAUGGGAAAAAAGACACAGGCAAGUAGGAUGGGGACAUCACAAAGGGAUAGAUGCCUGGGCCUAGGUUAGAGUGCAGCUGCCUGUGCUCUGGUGCUGCCCACUUUGCCUAAGCCUUUACUCUGCAGCAGGGGGCCACCUCACAGAACUAGAUGUUAGAACAUUUUAAAAGUUUUCAGGAAGCGUCUCUGUCUCUCACUUGCCUUGUGGAAAAUACCAAGAAAAACAAGACGCAGUCCUGCUGGGGACGUGUUGACUGCAGAGCAUAUUUGGGUAUUCACAGAGCCCCUUGGAAAUGAUCCUUAACCUUGAGGCAGCUGUCAUCCUCCUCAGGCUGCUGGUGCGCCUCCUAUGGCAAAGAGUCUGUAUUUCUCAGCCUCCUGUUUUUCAGACCACAGCCAUUGCUGUUGUGGUGGCUGGUCCCAUUAGGGACCUGUGAACAAAACAGUGUCUGAUAUGCAGGAAGGGCUUUAGCACCCCAAGUGCAACCUUGUCACCAAAGUGAGGGAAGGACUAGGGGAACUGGGCUUUGGCUACUGUGACUUUCAGAGGACAUCAGCUCAUAAGCCUGGCCCUCCAGCAUCCACUCUUCAGAACUGCUGCUUGGGCCUGCUCAAAAGACCCAGGCUUAGGAGGACCACACAAGUUCUCUGUGGUGCUCAGCCUAUAGCUUGAAGUUUUUUCAGACAUACAGGAAACUAUUUGUGUCCCUGUAACCUUGCAGCUGUGUGAGGCCGGACUGUGGGGAGAAACCAUCCUGAGAGCUGUCUCUUGAAAAUGUCAUCUGUCUUGGGCUUUCUCAGCAUCUAGCUUUUUGCUCAUGGGAGAUGAGCGUGUGGUUCAGCUGUGCAGCAUUGGCCUCUGCAGAGGAGCUGUGCCACCCCUUGGUUACUACGAGUCUCCUUUUCCUUCUGCAUGCAGACCUGUGCUGCACUUAACCCACUCAGGGAUGCUCCCGUGUGCUGCUCUCCCUCUGCCACCGUCAAAGUCAGGACAGGCUGCAAGCAUAGACCGGUGCAUGUUCACCUACCAAAAUCCUCCCUGUGAUGGGAGAUACAUCCAGAGUGGGAAAUGGCUCGAGGCCCUGAAGGGAGAAUGGUGUUUUUUGUUGCUUUAUAGGAAGCCACUGUCCCUGAACUUUCCAGCUGUGCCUUUUUUCUUUCCUGUCAAGGAACUGGUAAAGAAAAACCCAAGGGUGGCCCAGCCAUUUUCCCAGGCUCUGCUGCUUUCUUCACCCUGGACAGUGAAUGUUUCCCCAGCCUCAUCUCCUGAUGGUAGAGUUAAGGCUGCGGCUCAGAGAUAACUGGCUCCUGGCUAAGUAAAUAUUUCCCCUGUCCCUCCCUCCCCUGUAUCUGCUCUGGUAGAAGCACAAAUGCUACCCACUUAAGUGGCCCCGAAUUGCUAAUUCCAGCCUCAGCCAGGGGUGGGCUUUGUUCCUUUGGCCAGAGCAGCUGUACUGAAGCCAGCUGCCUACUGGCAGCUUUAGGGUCAUUCCACAGCUAGACCCAUGUACAUGGCCCUGUGGCCUGGGCCAAAGUUCCUUAGCACCAGAUUCUCUCCCCCUCACCCCCUGUCAGGAGUUGGGGAGCAGCCCAGGGUGCACCUCAAUCCUGUGAGCUGGUGCACUGUGUCGUCAUAAGUGCGUCCCACGAGGGCCUCUGUGAAGGUAGACUCCUUGAGUUCUGUGCAGACUGUCCCCAGCCUUCUUGGGCUCAGGAGUCCAGGUCCAAGCCUCAGUGAGUCAGUCCCUCUUAUAAGUCAUGUUGGGGAGCUCAGCUGCUUCCUCGGAGUUACUAACAAAUGCUGGGCCCACUGUCACAGUUGGCUCUGUGUUUUAACUAAACAAACCACAAGGACAGUUCGUAGACCAUAGUAACAAAAACUUGUUAAAAAAUCUUAAAUUUAGCUGUCUCUAGUAAGUUCUAUUACUAUUUUUUUUUUUUAAAUCUGCACUGAACCUGUUUCCUUAUCUAUGAAUGACAAGAAAGAAUACCUGCCUCUUGGGGUUAUUUUGAGAUAAAUGUUUGGCCUAGAGCAGGAGUUAUUAAAAUAGUCCUUCCAGAACCUGCCCUUUGUCAGCACUUGACCCAGUCUGAUGCAGCUCGAGUCCCGGAGCCUGCCCUGUGAUUACGAGAUGCACAUAGACACAGUGUCCAUGCCAGGGCCCAACAUGGAACCUAGGGUUCCAGACUCAUUCUUGGGCCCAGAGGAGAAGCAGCCAGAGCAGGACUCGAAUGCUCAGUGGCUUGUGGUAUGAUCAGAGGAGGCUCUACUGGGGUCAACCAGCUGUCCACCAGGCAUUCUGCCCUCUUGCAAAGCACAGGCACCCAGGUACACCCAGAAGUGUGUGAGGCCUAAGUGCUUUGGAAGGAAACCCAAGGCUACCAAGAAACUUUGGAAUUAUACAACAUAACCUUCAUAAAAGGAGAAAGUAAACUUUUCCUUGAAGAAAACCAGUUGUGACAGGGGAGAAAAGGAAAAUCAACUCCAAAUGGGAUCAUGUUUUAUUCAGGAUUCGUUCUGCCAGUGGGGAAGGCCAGAACCCCAUGAAAGGAUGGAAAGUGGGACGCCCCAACUUCAAGCCUCAUGUGUUCUGCCACAAAGCUCUACUUGCUUCAUUGAGCACGGCUCCUGGGGACCUCUAAUGGCCCUUGAUAGCAAACAUAGUUAAAAAUUAACAGGCCUACAGAAUUAAAUAUGGAUGACAAGCAACCACUGUGGACUUAAUCUGACACAGGGUGUUACACGCUUGGGUGCCCGCAACCAGAGUAGCGUCUUGAAUGAACUUGGAGAUGUCUGACCACAUUUCACAUGCCUGUUUGGAAGCAAGAGCCUCACUGGUGCUUAGGAUAGACAGGAAAAAAGUCUUAAAAGCCCAGGAGAGAAGAACUAUUCCUGAGGACUUGUGUUUAAUUAAAGCCAGCUUUGAUUGGUGUUUGCUAGAGGUGUUCACUGUCCUGGGGCCUUGCUGUUCAUCCAGGCCUCGUCCUUGCUGGAGCUCAGACCUCAGUGAAGUGCUUUGCCUCACAGUGGAGCCUGGCCUUCUGCCAGGGUGCCAAAAUGGGAGGCUUAGUACCUUUUGCUGAGCGGGCAGCCCUGGACAAGUAGCAGACGCCAGACAAGUAGUAAGGCUGCUCACUGUAUCAUGCUCCCUGUGGAUGCUGAAAGAGUAUGGUAGCCAGCCCGAGGCGCCAGAGGGCAGUGGGGUACCCUUUAAAAAGGAACCGUCAGUGAGCUCCGUUUCAUGUAGCAUAGAGGUUUGAAAAGUUCUCCCAGCAUGUGGAGUGCAUUAUUAGAAAUGAGAGUUGCAGCUUAAAACAGCAUAUUUUGUGCUGUAAAGAGAAGAAUCUUCAUAUUGCAAGUCGUCACUCCAGUGUGUUGGCGAGUGUAGAGUUUUUUUAAAGAGCAAACUGCACUUCUGGCCUGCAUCCUGUUCUCAGCCUGGCAGCCUAACAACCAACCUGCCAAAGGUCCUCCUGGAGAUUCCUUAAUGAUCCUGCCCAGUAGGUUGUAAGGCAAAAUUGGUUUUGAUUUCAGCUGCAUGUGAGCAGCUUGUAGCUAGGGACUCAAUGCUGGGAAGCCUCCACAGAACAAUUGAGGGCUCCAUUUGGGGGGCAGUAAUACAAACCUACCCAUGAUUAUCCAGGACUUAAAAGCCAAUUAUCCAGGACUUAAAAGCCAAUUAAUCAUGUAAAAUACUUGCUGUCCUAAUUACUCUUCUCUAGUUUCAUUGACAAAAUACCUGACACCCAAAAUUAAGAAAGGAAAGGUUUAUUUAACUCUCAGCUUGUGGAGGUUUCAGUACAUAAUCAGCUGGCUCCAGAAUGGCAUAGGGAGGGGCAUUUCAAGGUGGCAGAAGACUGCAAAAGCAACAAGACCACAAAGGGGCAGAGCGAUCUGUUCUUUCUUAUGUUGUAAGCAGACCACCUGGGGAGCAUGGACACCAUCUCUGUGCCUCUCUCGUACACAGGCUCAGGAUGCUUACAAUGUGAGGACCCUGGCUCCCUCCUGAGUCACUUUCUCAAGUUGACACAGUGAACAAUAUCCCAGAGCUCACAGGGUAUGUCCUCCAGGAUGCAGAGCUGCUGAUUUACUUGGUUAAGCUUCCUGACUUCUCAAGUUGACAUAAUGUAUCAACCAUUACACUUGAUCAAGGUACUGUUUCAACUUUGUUCUGAAUAUGGUGCUGAAGGAGCUCUGUACCUGUAUUAGGAAAAGUAUGAGGACUUCCGGCUGCCCUACAGUGAGUGGGAUGUCCAGUAGACUGGCCGGUUUGGUGAUCUGGUACAAAUGAGUUUCAUUAGGAGCUAGAAACAUGGAUACUACCUAGAUCCACCGAAAACUGACACCAGCAUAGGCCUUCCAGACCAACAGUGUUCCAGGCCCCUGCCAUGGAAUAAUAGCCAUCCCAGAAUCAAAUGGCUCUGUGGUCAGGUAUACUAGGGAAAUGUAGGGACAGAUGAAAUCAUACAGGUUUCUUUUUUCUUGUUGUUUUUUUUUUGGGGGGGUGGUAUUUGUUUCAUUGUGGUUUUUUUGUUUUGGGGAACUUCACAAGGACGUUUCAUGUGCUGCUUUAUAUGAGUUGUAGACUGUAACUUACUGGGCUGUAGAGCUUACUUAGACUGGCCUUCCAGCCAUAUUUCUAGAAACCUACUGAAGAGCAGUGUGCUGCCUUGCAGUCGCCUCAAGGGCUUUGUAAAAUGGAAGCUAUAGCCAGGUGUGGUUGUACUCCUUUGGAAUCCCUGAACUUUUGAGAAGCUGAGACAGGAAAACCACAAGUUUGAGGCUAGCUUGAGAAAUUUUGCAAUAUCCUUUUUCAAAAUACCUUUGUAAAGGACUGGGUAUGUAGGUCAUUGCAAAGGCCCUGUGUUCGGUCCUCAGAACCACAUGAAAUAAGCAAGUUAUAGGGCCCCACCACUGGUGUCUCUGCCCAUAAUACAUUCCAGUGAUGGUAAUGGUCCAGGGAACGCUCUUUGAAAACCACUGGUGUGGACUUACUCUUCAUUUCAGCUGAGAAGAAACUGGCCAAAUAAGGGAUGGUUACUAACAGCAGUGACCAUUAAUUGCCCAGCACCUGGUACACAGUUCUCUUGUCCCAUUCGGCAAGCCAGUAUUAUCCUGGCCAGGUCCAGAACGUUCACCUGCUCUUGUCUUUUACCCUGUGCUACGCACACUCUGCUGUGGGAGACACCUGCCAAGGGCAGAGAUGUCUGCAAGGCCACUGAGUUUUCCUGUGUUAGGCUUCCUUGUCGGGACUGUGAGUUCUGUCUUUGAAUACUGUUGCCCUUAGCGUCCUCAUCUAUAAAUGAAGGAGGAUGCAAGUGAUUUUUGUGACUACUUCCUCUGGUGCUCCAUUGUAUUUUAUCUUGGUCACUUGUUGCUGAGACUUUCUUCUCUGAGUGUCUUCCACACCUGUGCAACCUGCUGCCCUGCUGAGGAGCUCACAGGGUUGUUGUUGCAGUGGCGCUGCCUUGUAGAAGAGCUUUCCCGAGCAAGUAGGGCGCUUGGUGGAGAAGUGUCACUGUGAGGCUGGUGCAGCAGGGACAUCCUAAGCCCGGGAUUGUGUGUGGGUUUGUGAGUGUGCACUGUUGCAAGGCCUGCCCAGGCUGGAGGGGUAAGUGUGAGCCCUGCUGAACUGUCCCUGGAGCAGGGCAGGCUGCAGUUUUCUGGAUGGAGCAAGUGAAGCAGCUCCAAACCACAGCAGUCAAGCAGCCUGAGUGGGAGUAAGGGUGACUCCUCCCCUCAUGCCACCCCCCCCCCACCUGUCAGCGCAAAACAGCCAGUGCCCACUGGGGCCCUGCCCCUGAGCCAUGCACCAGCCUCCCGUGCAGACUGAAGCAGAUGGGGUCUCAGCCUGGCAGCUUUUGCCCUCUGCUGGAAGACAGGCACACGGGACCUCCUGCUGGAAUGUCCUCCCUUCUAGUGUCUGCAGGGCUUCAGGAAGAGCUUGUGCUCUGGCUGGUGCCCUGGGGUCUGAUUCUGGGGGUGUAAGAAUAAUGAGUGUUGGGGUCUGUCUCUGUCCUACCGCCACUCUGCCCACCACUGUGAGUCACUGGCCUGCUUCCUCACUGGCAUCCUCCACCUGAGCUCAGCUGAGCACAAUGUAACCUGGACCCCACCACCUGGAUGGGCCACCUUGUCACCCAGAAUACCCCUAGGACGGGCAUGUGUGCAGCUGAGAGAAUGCCAGGGCUGGGUGAAGGUGGGGAGGCCCCCGCCAGAGAGAUGGUGUGGGGGAGGUGAGGGCCCCCAUCUCGCAGCCACCUUCACUGUCCCGACCCCUGCCACUUCCCCGCGGCUCUCCCCAUGGGCCCCUGCCCAGGCCACAGCCCCCUCACCGCACUUCACACUGACCCAGCCCAUGCACACGGCUCCAGUCCCUCUACCAUGUGGGUCUCCAGCCCCUCACCCCUCCUGGGGCCCUGUACCCCAGACGUUCCUCUCCCACCUGUCUCAGGAAGGCAGCUCCAACUCUGCUCUUUGCUUAGUGAGCAAGUGGAUUCAGAUGCACAAAACCAUAAGCCAUGGAUGCGUUGGCUCCCUCCCUCCGAGGCUACUUCUCAGGGCUGGAAGUCCCGUCAGUUCUGCUGAAUGCUGUGAUUGGAAAAAACCUUGCCCAGCUCUGAUCCCUUCAAGACUUUGCCACAGCCUCUAUCACACAUCUGUUUUUCUCAAAGAAAAAAAUAUAAUAAAAAUGUUUUACUCUUUUACACUGUAUAAUUGUUAAGAAAUAGUGUGUUAUUUGUGAAUGCAUGAUCUGACAUUCAUUUCUAUACAUUUAGAGGUAUUUUUAAGCAAACAUAGAAAUCAACGAUAAAACCAAGAAAGUGAGUAUUUUUAUACCAAACAUUUUAAGUAUGACAGGAUGAUUCUUAACACUGGGUUGGACCACAUUUGUGCUUGACUUUUGAAUGCUUGUAAUUAAAAAUACCUAUUUUUUUUCUGUCUAAAAUCAGCUGCAUGUUUGAGGCAUGUUUCUUACGUAGCAUCAGCUUUUAGAAUGGUAUUGUCAAUGUACUGAAUCUGCUUGCCUGGUCAGAGUCGAGCACUCAUGAUGUGGUAGUUUAGAAUGUUCUAUAGUCCUAGGUGUGCAAUCCCUGUUCCCACAGGAAACCCCUGCGAGACAAUCCGGGCCUCCAGGACCUUCUGCCUAAUGGCAUACUCACAAAUGGGCAAAAAUCUCUUUGAUCGCAGUUCCUGACCAAAAAGUGACAUUCGAAAGCCCUGGUACCUCCAGCUGGGACUAUGUAAACCAUGUGCCAAGCAUUGGGUUCUGCAGUCUUACAUUAUCUGACAGCGUGCACCGGUGUCAUGUCUGAUGCCUCACCCCCACAAGGGGAACCACAGGGUCAGCCCAAGGGUGAAAGCACCUUGGCUUAGAGUUGGCCUUUCUGUAAAAGGACUCGGCUUCACCCAGCCCACUUGGCUGCACCGUGCAGUGCACAUACCAAAAGUGAUUUUGCAAACCUGAGCUUAAUAUUCCAAAGUUUUGAUAAUACCCGUGCCAACGGAUGUCACAUGUUCUUGAAUCUGCAUGCUCACUGUGAGACUGCCUUGGGCACAGGUACAGGAGGAGCCGAUGAUAGAACCAGAGGCCAUGUGCAAUGAAUAUUGUUCUUGCUUCAAGACUUCUUCAAAGCCAAAGUCAGUCUUGUUGAGUUGACACAUUUCCGGAGUCUGAUAGCCCCACCUCUCUCCCUCCCCGUAUGUCAGAGCCAUGUGUAAAACUGACCUAAGAAUUUUUAAUGGCUUGAUAUAGCUAGAUGUGAUCACAGUCUUUCUUACUGAUAUGUUCACAUGUUGAAAAACGUUUUAAUGGUUAUGUGGUGGGGCUGGGGUUUUAUUGUUUUUCAUUAGAAAUAAUAAGUUUUUAAAGGUGUUUUUUAAAAAGGCCAGGAGUGAGGAACUCUUCCCAUAAACACAAGGAAAGUGGGGCAGCAUGAGCUUAGGAACUUCUUGUUUAAGAAGCUACUUAUGUUCUCAGUACUGGCUGGCUCUCGGAGACUCCUGUACUUGCUUCCAAGGAAACAGAGCCACUUCGUGGUCUAUUAUGCUUUUAUAAACUGUUAAAGGUACUUUUCUAUUGUCAUUUUUAAAAAAAUAAAGUGUUUAUUCCAGCUAUCAUA
This is an RNA transcript of Cavia porcellus (domestic guinea pig), 10273 nucleotides long. It is a transcript of the gene named RNA binding protein, mRNA processing factor, with no coding region annotated. The transcript is spliced from 9 exons. The record is from RefSeq and is a predicted model, not a curated record. Lineage: Eukaryota; Metazoa; Chordata; Mammalia; Rodentia; Caviidae.